Molecule: ribosomal RNA, 253 nt
Filed under: uncultured bacterium
Lineage: Bacteria
Description: partial 16S ribosomal RNA
Rfam family: Bacterial small subunit ribosomal RNA
Source: RNAcentral
AACGUAGGUACCGAGCGUUAUCCGGAUUCACUGGGCGUAAAGCGCGUGCAGGUGGUAUGGUAAGUCGGGCAUGAAAACUCUUGGCUCAACUGAGAGACGCUGUCCGAUACUGCCGAACUUGAGGGUGUAAGAGGGAGGUGGAAUUCCGCAUGUAGUGGUGAAAUGCGUAGAUAUGCGGAGGAACACCAGUGGCGAAGGCGACAUCCUGGACCGGUAUUGACGCUGAGGCGCGAAAGCCAGGGGAGCAAACGGG